Molecule: ribosomal RNA, 253 nt
Filed under: uncultured bacterium
Lineage: Bacteria
Description: partial 16S ribosomal RNA
Rfam family: Bacterial small subunit ribosomal RNA
Source: RNAcentral
UACGGGGGGCGCAAGCGUUGUUCGGAAUCACUGGGCGUAAAGCGCGUGUAGGCGGCUUUGCAAGUCGGGUGUGAAAUCCCGAGGCUCAACCUCGGAACUGCACUCGAUACUGCUUGGCUCGAGUCCCGGAGAGGGUGGUGGAAUUCCCGGUGUAGAGGUGAAAUUCGUAGAUAUCGGGAGGAACACCAGCGGCGAAGGCGGCCACCUGGACGGUGACUGACGCUGAGACGCGAAAGCGUGGGGAGCAAACAGG